GGGAAAUAGUGAAGAUUAAUAUCGACGCUGCGGUGGGGAGCGACAAACUCGCAGGUUUUGGAAUGGUGGCCAGGAACUACAAUUGGGAGGUUAUGGCGUCCGCUUCUAUGUAUCCAACCAUGGUGUUAUCGCCAACCAUUGGAGAGGCUCUCUCGUUGAGGUGGGCAAUGGAGUUAGCUACUCAGUUGGGAUUCAGGCGAGUUCUUUUUGAGACAGAUUGUCUUCCUUUGUUCCAGACUUGGAAGAAGGCGACCGAGGGCUCUUAUUUAUUUACUGUUAUUCA
RNAcentral lists this long non-coding RNA (283 nucleotides) under Lotus japonicus. RNAcentral's name for it is "long non-coding RNA (LJAP_LNC000926)". Lineage: Eukaryota; Viridiplantae; Streptophyta; Magnoliopsida; Fabales; Fabaceae. The record is from RNAcentral.